This 253-nucleotide ribosomal RNA is filed under the name uncultured bacterium. RNAcentral's name for it is "partial 16S ribosomal RNA". It matches the Rfam family "Bacterial small subunit ribosomal RNA", at positions 524 to 776 of the family's 1533-position model. The record is from RNAcentral.
UACAGAGGUCUCAAGCGUUGUUCGGAUUCAUUGGGCGUAAAGGGUGUGUAGGUGGCGCCGUAAGUCGGGUGUGAAAUUUCGGAGCUUAACUCCGAAACUGCAUUCGAUACUGCGGUGCUUGAGGACUGGAGAGGAGACUGGAAUUCAUGGUGUAGCAGUGAAAUGCGUAGAGAUCAUGAGGAAGACCAGUGGCGAAGGCGGGUCUCUGGACAGUUCCUGACACUGAGGAGCGAAAGCGUGGGGAGCGAACAGG